CUACACACCCCGCCUUGCUUCUCCGGGGGAGAACGAGGACGCCGCGGGUGCACCGAUGGAGCCGGCACUGUCUCGUUUCGUGGGUUUGUUAUUGCGGUUUCCUCCAUCAUUUCCCACCAAACUUCAUUUGAAGAACAUCUUAUGUGGAAAGCUGGACUCUGGUAAAAGUACCUUAUGGCAGAUCCCGUGCACUUAUGCAUGACUCCAUGGGACAUGCAGACACACUUAGAUGAUCCACAGAUGGGAGGAGAAAGGGAGGGCCAAGAAAAAAACCUCAUCCUGAACAGUGUGAGAUAAAAACAGGAUUCAUUUUCUAUGGCCUUCAGAGCCCGAGAAGAAACUGAAAAUGAUGGGAUUCUCAAGAAAACAAGAUUUGUGACCUACUUCAACCUUUGUUUUCAUGCAGUACCACAUUUCCAUGUUCUCCAUGGACACAAGAUACGCAGAACUGCUAGUACCGGUACUUCUUUAGAAUUAUUAUUCAAAGUUAUUUGAAAUGGUCUUAGAAAGUACGUCAGAACAGAAGGGCAAUUAAACAGCAAGGAUAGGAUAACAUGGAAUAUCAAAGAGUAGAAUAUUUAGGUUAUCAAUCCAGCAGAAUAAAUUUGGCAGGAAUAGUGGGAGAACAAGAAGGCAUUGCAAAUUAUAUUGAAAUACAUAUAUUUCUACCUCCAUGAAGUCCCACAGCAUUGUCUUAUAAACACAUCAUGUUUUUCUUUCACAAAAGAAGUUUGACUUUUAGACCACCGUUUAACAUUAUGUACUCUAUGCUUCUGUAUUGUCAUAUGACAAUACACACAUAGAGGUAACAUUAUUGAAGUAUUUUAAGCAUAUUCUGAUAAGACUACUGACACAGUUACACAAAUGUGUAAGGGAUUUAGUGGAUGAGAUUUUGGUAUACUUCAUAGUUACUACAAAAUGUGGUUAUAAAACCCAAAAAUUAUUUGCAUUCUCCAAAGUUUUGUAUGAAAUACUGAAACGGAUCUACGAUGUAUCCCUCUACUUCCAAUCUACCUUUUGUCCUUUCUUUCUGAGAGGUCUCAGAGCCUAUUCACUUCAAACAGUACACUCAAAACCCUUUGCAGGGUUAUCCGAUGACACUGUUGCUGUGCCUAAGGGUAAUUAAUAUAAACCCUGUGUGUCAUUGAAUCUACAGACCAUGAAACUUCACUGUGCUACGUAUUAGCUAGUGGAAAUGUCACCUCAUUUUUAAAGAAGAAUUGUGUCAAAUUAACAACCUAAAAGUAGAAGUCUUCUUUCCAGCUUUGCUAGAGUAGAUAAUUUUUUAUUUUUUUUGCAUUAUGCAGUCUAUACUCUAUCAGCAUUUACAGUUUUAGAGGAUUAGCUAGCAUUAAGAAACUUAUAUUACAUUGCAGGGAGGAAAAAAAAUAGCGUAUUGCUCUGCUUAUAUUAGUUCAUAUUUGUACCACAGGAGGCACAGUGAGUAAUUUUCACAACCUACUUUUUGCUUCUCACUUCUGUUGAGGUUUCACAGUCAUCCUUUAAAACAGUCAUCCCUGCAUAGUAACACAGAGCCCAAGACCACGUUCCCUACUUCCCAUGUCCUGAAGUGCCACAUCUACAUGUUUUUUGAACAAUUCUGGGGAUGAUUGCUCCACCAAUUCCCUGGGCAGCUUCUUCAAAUGCCUGGCCACUCUUUCAGCGAUUAAAUUUUUCCUAAUACGCAAUCUAAAUCUUUCCUGGUGCAACUUGAGGCCACCCCCUCUCAUGCUAUUUCUUGUUACUUGGGAGACCAACACCCACCUCACUGCAACCUCCUUUCAGGUAGUUGUAGAGGGUGAUAAGGCCUCCCCUCAGCCUCCUUUUGUCCAGGUUUACAACCUCAGUUCCCUGAACUGCUCCUCAUAAGACUUGCACUCCAGACCCUCCACCAGCCUCAUUGCCCUUCUCUGACACACUCCAGUAUCUCACUGUGCCUGUACUAAGGAAUCCAAAAUUGAGCACAGUAUUCAAGGUGCAGCAUCACCAGUGCCACUUUGACUGGUCACCAACUGGAUUUAGCUACAUUCAGUGCAACUCUUUGGGCUUGGCCAUCCAGACUGGACAAGUUAUACAUGAAUGUCGGGUAUUAGUUGCUUCCACAAUGUAUUGAUAAGCCAGGGACAAAUUUGUGGUAUCUGAUCCAAGCAUGCCUGGUGGCAGAGAAUUUUGCUGCUACUCCUGUCACAUGACAGAGGGUACAACUUUGCUUGUUCUGAGAUGGGUAUGUGACUUAGAAGAAUAGUAGUGGAUGACCUUCAAAAUCCUCCAUGAGAGGCUGUGUUGCACACCUCUCAAGAAUGUUUAGUGUCACAGGGUAUUAAAGGAUUCUUCACCUGUCAUCCCAGGUGAUCUGCAGCUUGCAGAUGCAAUUUAUCCAGCAGGGUUCCCCUGCCUGAAGAUUCUUUCCCCCCAAAGAUUUAAAAGGGUUAAAGACUAAUGAGAAGCAGGUGAAUUGCUUCUGGUUACUGCUUGCCAAUAAUUUCAGCUUAUCUCUUGUCAUACUGGGCUUAGUGAUCAUGCAUUAUACAGCAGAAGUGCACAGGUAAAUCCUUUUCCACUCCCCAGGAAAUUUGUAUUUGGUUGUCAGAUUCCACCUCCACAGCAAUUAAUCUAUUCCCUUGCCUCUCUUGAGCGUGUCUAAAAAAUCAGCAGCUAAGAACAGUUAGCAUGAUUUUUUUUUUAAUUCUGUGCAAGCUAGCUGCCAAACCACACUCUUCGUUACGAGGAGCAAAUCAGGAGACAUCUGUGUACAUGUAUAAUAAAAUCCAUGCUUAACUGAUCCUUCAGCACACAUGCGGAAUAACCUUGCUGUUUGGACACAAUAGGUAUGUUGAUGAGGAAGAGGAAGUCUGGAGCACAUGUCCUUCUCUGCUAAUAAAAAGACUGCGUAGAGUACCUAGUAAUAAAGGCUGGGCAGUGCUGAAAUGCAGCAUCACAACUAGCAUUUCUGCAGGGAGCUGAAAAAGAUGAGUCAAACAGUAAUUAGUUAAAACAAAUACCAGAUGGUAUCUGACUUUACAAUGGUUUCCAUUGUCAAGACUAAGAUCACAAUGAUCCUGUAGAUAAGGACAGGAUUCAAACAUCUUUUGGUAGUCCAUCAUCAAAACACUCUAGAGUUUCCCAGCUUUAAAAGUUCGUUGUGCCAUGAAACAUUAAUGAUAGAGAUAGAAAAAUCAUUAAAAAUUCUCUUUCAUGCCUAUUAAUGACAUAAAUAGUCAACAUAAAAGAUUGCUUCUUACAGCCCAUUGAAAAGGGGCAAAAUCACAGUUGUUACAUGUCACAUGAAGCUGGAAAUAUUAUAUUCUUUUCCUCAUUUUCACUGUGAUUCUCAUUUUAGUUCACCAUCUUUUAUAAAAUACAAGAUACUUCCACUAAAAAGACAGAAAAAUAUUUUAUGUUUUAACAUGAGAAUUUUAUUUUAAUAUCUCUUCAUUUUAACAUAAGACUGGCUUGCAUUUAUUUGAGUCCAAGGCUUGUAAACAUUUACUUGCACGUUUAACUCUACUGCUGUUAAAACAGGAAUAUGCAUACUCGUUAAUGUCAUGAAUCACGGCAGCAUCAUGCUUUUAUCUAAAAAACGGUGCAAGGAAACCGAGAAUUUAAAGUACAUUGUGUUCCAGGUAGUUAUGCAUCUAUCUCCACAAUAUUCCUUUAAAAUAUUUAUAUUUUGGAGUUAGGAAAAGGAAAUAUGUGCAUACCACGCAUAAAGAGCAGAAGAGUAUAGUAUUUUUUAUAUUUUAGAUAUCUCUAGUUGAUCAGUUUGCUAUAACAGUGAUCCUGGACAGCAUGGAAAUACAGCUCUACAGGGAAGGAAGAAGCCAGAUGGGGCCAGAAAAGCUGUUUUCCGGUGAAUCUCAUAUUUAUUUCAUCUCUUAUCCAUCACCUUUAGUAUGAUGUUCCAGUCCUGCUUUAAAAUGUCAUUAAGAAGUUUUACACAACAUUUGGAACUGAAAAUACUUAUUUUUAUAUAACUAAUGUGUUUUGAUAAAAAAAAUGUUCUGCUAUAUUUUGCUAGUUACUCUUACUAUGUCAUGGAAACUUCACAAAUAAAUAUCUAUGAAUGUCAUACUACAGUAAUCAUGCCCAGAAUAUGUGCAGGACAAAACCUGUGAUGUGAAUUAAACUUUGUCUUGCUGAUGAAAUGUGACUUUUUUUACACCACCAGCCAUAUCACUAUAUUUUAAUCAUUAAUAAUAAUAAUGAUCUUAGUGGCAAUAGAUUUUUUUUUCUUCUCAGUGUUUAAAAGCUGUGUAGGGAAUUAGAAGUUUGCCACCCAACCUCAGAAAGAGGUAGACAAUAAUGAACAAAAUAAUAAGGUUAAACGAACAUGCAGAAUACAAGCUGGUGAAAUCCUGGUGUGGGUCUGAAGAUUUCUACUUUCUGUGAAGUCCUCCUGAGCAAGACCAAGUAGUACACCCAAAUCAAGCUGCAAAUGGUAACACAUGAUACAUCUUCAGAAGAAAAGGACCUUAUCUCGUAUUCUUACAUUUUUCAGUGUCAGACUUGUAAAGGCACAGUCUUCCAGGUUAGGCCGUAUCCAAGGCAUACACUUCCACAGUAACGGGAAUUGAUGUCCUGAAGAACAGAAGUUCCAAUGUGACUUUGUCUGAUUCCUAUCCUGAAAAAACAUGUUUUUUUCAGCUUUGAGGAAGCUACUUGUAGGGUCUUACUUUGAUUUAUACCCUGCCUUAUCACAGUGUUGGAUCUGUCUGCAAAAGAUGGAAAGGUUGUCAGCAUCUGAAUCACAGCUAUGUAAUUUAAGAUAUCCCAUUGCUGGAUUUUCUAAAUGAAAUCUUUAAUAAACUUAGGCAAGCUUUUAACUCAUUUAUGCUCAGAAUUCCCAUUGCAAAGUAAACAUGCUUUCUGUCUUCUUUUGAAGAAGAAGAAAAGAACCCCAAACCACUGCUGUUCGUUUGUAUGUUGCUUGUGUUUCGGAGCAAUAGUCAAUGGCUGCCAAGGGAACCUCUUGGUAUGAAUGAAAUCUCUUUGAUUGAACUUAUGCAAAAUUAAGAAAAUUGGCUAAAUUAAAAGGAAAUAAUAAGGAAAAAGCUGUGUUCACCCAUCAUCAGGACUGACUUUAGGAAACUGGCAAUAAAAUUCUCCAAACAUGCCAUCUAUAGUUUAGUCUGUAGGGAUUCAGCUGCUUUCUGUUAUGGAUGACUUGGUCCUGGGUGUUAGUAUGAAGAUCAAAAAUGUUGCUCCACUGAAGUGUUCCAUGUCUCUUUGCUGGUACACAGUUUGCACGGGAGACAAACUAGAGAAAUGAGAGGCAGACCUCAGAAGGAUGAAAUAGUGAUGGGAGCUAACAGAGAGGUAAAAUUUGGACUGAAAGCUGGUAGGAGAACGGGGGCAUAUUGGGAUGAGUGGCUGUAGUGGAGAAAUUUGAAGAUGAGACUAGAGAAGAGGAAUGGAAUAAGAGCAGUAGAGAGAGGAAACAGGUAGCUAAGAAAAGGAAAGAAUGCAAAGAAUAUGUUCAAAUAGAGGGUAGGAGGAAAAUACUUAUUAUUAUCUUCCAAGGUCUUCAAUAGCUGUGGGAAGUUCAAGUUUCAUGUGCGUUUGUUGCCUCUUUUCUAAAGAAGCUUUCCUGAAACUUUUGGAUUUUGCUAUACCUGUGCCGGAGUUACACAGGCAGCCAUAAUAGGUGCUGUCCCAUAAGAAGCGAAGGGAUUUCACUAGCAUCAUGCAAUCAUUUUCUCAGCUUGAAACAUCAGUUAGGGAAUAUCCAUGAUGAAGGUCUUCGAAAUUCCGGUCUUGCCAAUGUGAUUCCACUUGGCAUACAGUUUUAAAUAUUUUUCAGUUAAUAAUACCUCCCUGCCCCUCUUGCUACCUUUACCUUAAAAGUAUAUUACAAAAAAUAGGAAACUUGGCAGAAUUAAAGUUUCAGCCUUAAUUUCUCCUCUUUACAUUUUGUAAAAUGGUAGGCUUUAAUAACAAUAAGAUUAAUAAUUUUCCUCAUCCUAUUUUACCUGGCUUUUUGGAAUAGAUUACAAGAGAGACUGUAGGUGUUUCAGAGUAACAGAAAAUAUAUAAGAAGGAAGAACAGCUAAGAGGCAGACAGAAAAAACCCAGAAACAAUAUUUCACAUUCAAAUAUAUGAAGCAACUAAAUACCAAGCUCUGCAAUUCCUGAAGUUAAUUCUUACUGAAAAUACUGAAUCUAGAAAAUAAUUAUGACACUGUGUAAUCAUGAAUGAGCUCUCAGUCCAAUAGGAAAUAAACAAGGCUAAUUAGAAUGCUUUCAGGACUGACAAACAAGUGCUUUAUAUGUCUGUGAUUUUCCCUAAAGUGUUAAUCAUUUUUAUUUUAUACUACCUCCUCAGACUGCUGAAAUGUGAAGUUCAUUUUCCCAUGGGAAGUUAUACUUUUAAUGUCAAAUGUAAUUAUGUAUAAAGAAAAGGAGCCAAGAGAAAGUAUCUAUUCAGAGAACUAGGGCAGGCAGACUCUUACUCCCCUAACAGAAAAGAAGUCCAAUAAGUGGAUGCCAUGUCCAGUUGUGAAAUACUAUCUGUAUAUGUGUGUGUCAAAAGAUAUUUAUUAUGUCUUUAGUUAAUGUUUGUGUUUUCUGUUUUUUUGGUUUUAGUUACCAGAAAACAGGCCAGAUUUAUGUGUAAAAAUGAUCAUUCAGCUUCUUAAAUGAAAUCUACCUAAACACUAAUCCUUGCUGUAGUAAGAUGUGAUUCUAGCAGUAUUUUGGGGAAAUCAUUCUGGCAUAGUUUAAAACAGUACAUUUAAAGUAUAUACUCUCAAUAAAGCAACCAUUAAUUGCAAUCCAAGCCUCUGUAAUCUUUAAGUCUAAAAUCUGGUCUUUUUCUUCAGAAGUCUGUAUAUUUCUUGAAAA
Molecule: long non-coding RNA, 6840 nt
Organism: Cuculus canorus (common cuckoo)
Lineage: Eukaryota; Metazoa; Chordata; Aves; Cuculiformes; Cuculidae
Exons: 3
Source: RefSeq, a predicted model, not a curated record